This 200-nucleotide small nuclear RNA is filed under the name Mus musculus (house mouse). Its description in RNAcentral is "7SK RNA". It matches the Rfam family "7SK RNA", at positions 1 to 200 of the family's 331-position model. Rfam says of the family: 7SK was discovered as an abundant small nuclear RNA in the mid-70s but a possible function has only recently been suggested. Two independent studies have found that 7SK RNA binds the CDK9/cyclin T complex (known as elongation factor P-TEFb). The record is from Rfam by way of RNAcentral. Lineage: Eukaryota; Metazoa; Chordata; Mammalia; Rodentia; Muridae.
GGAUGUAAGCAUGACCUGGGUGAGGUAUAUAUCAACCUAUUUAUCAUCAGGGUUUAUUUGAGUGAUGUAUCUGGCUACAUGAGCGUCACCUUUCUCCCUCACAUUUCCUUGUGUCUACCUGUAGAAACUACAUGCUUUAUCAAAGAGGACAACUGCCUCUAAUAGGGAAGGAUAGUUCUUUGGUGUUGGUUAUAUGCAUU